Non-coding RNA from Mycena rebaudengoi, 73 nucleotides. NCBI's taxonomy places the organism in Eukaryota, Fungi, Basidiomycota, Agaricomycetes, Agaricales, Mycenaceae. The record is from the annotation of a GenBank genome assembly.
GACCUAAUAGCGAAAUCGGUAUCGCAUCUACCUUAUUACGUGGAAGUCCCUCGUUCGAACCGAGGUUAGGUCC